GUGCCAGCAGCCGCGGUAAUACGGAGGGUGCAAGCGUUGUCCGGAAUCACUGGGCGUAAAGGGUGCGCAGGCGGGGCAGCAAGUCGGAGGUGAAAGCCCGUGGCUCAACCACGGAAGUGCCUUCGAAACUGUUGCUCUUGAGUCCCGGAGAGGUUGCCGGAAUUCGUGGUGUAGCGGUGAAAUGCAUAGAUACUACCAAGAACCCCGAUUGCGUAGGCAGCUCGCUGGGCCGAAACUGACGCUGAGGCACGAAAGCGUGGGGAGCGAACAGGAUUAGAAACCCUGGUAGUCC
Molecule: ribosomal RNA, 292 nt
Filed under: uncultured bacterium
Lineage: Bacteria
Description: partial 16S ribosomal RNA
Rfam family: Bacterial small subunit ribosomal RNA
Source: RNAcentral